This 156-nucleotide ribosomal RNA is filed under the name uncultured bacterium. RNAcentral describes it as "partial 16S ribosomal RNA". It matches the Rfam family "Bacterial small subunit ribosomal RNA", at positions 995 to 1150 of the family's 1533-position model. The record is from RNAcentral.
UACCUCUAGAGAUAGAGGGUUCCCCUUCGGGGGACGGAGCGACAGGUGGUGCAUGGUUGUCGUCAGCUCGUGUCGAGAGAUGUUGGUUUAAGUCCCGCAACGAGCGCAACCCUUGACCUUAGUUGCCAGCAUUCAGUUGGUCACUCUAAGGAGACU